RNAcentral lists this ribosomal RNA (468 nucleotides) under uncultured bacterium. Its description in RNAcentral is "partial 16S ribosomal RNA". It matches the Rfam family "Bacterial small subunit ribosomal RNA", at positions 28 to 507 of the family's 1533-position model. The record is from RNAcentral.
GACGAACGCUGGCGGCGUGCUUAACACAUGCAAGUCGAACGGAAAGGCCCCGCUUUUGUGGGGUGCUCGAGUGGCGAACGGGUGAGUAACACGUGAUUAACCUGCCCUUGACUUUGGGAUAACUUCAGGAAACUGGGGCUAAUACCGGAUAGGAGCUCCUGCUGCAUGGUGGGGGUUGGAAAGUUUCGGCGGUUGGGGAUGGACUCGCGGCUUAUCAGCUUGUUGGUGGGGUAGUGGCUUACCAAGGCUUUGACGGGUAGCCGGCCUGAGAGGGUGACCGGCCACAUUGGGACUGAGAUACGGCCCAGACUCCUACGGGAGGCAGCAGUGGGGAAUAUUGCACAAUGGGCGGAAGCCUGAUGCAGCAACGCCGCGUGCGGGAUGACGGCCUUCGGGUUGUAAACCGCUUUCGCCUGUGACGAAGCGUGAGUGACGGUAAUGGGUAAAGAAGCACCGGCUAACUACGUG